AGGAACCUGCCUUCCAGAGGGGGACAACAGUUGGAAACGACUGCUAAUACCGCAUGACGCAUUGGUGUCGCAUGGCACUGAUGUCAAAGAUUUAUCGCUGGAAGAUGGCCUCGCGUCUGAUUAGCUAGUUGGUGAGGUAACGGCCCACCAAGGCGACGAUCAGUAGCCGGACUGAGAGGUUGGCCGGCCACAUUGGGACUGAGAUACGGCCCAGACUCCUACGGGAGGCAGCAG
This 234-nucleotide ribosomal RNA is filed under the name uncultured bacterium. Its description in RNAcentral is "partial 16S ribosomal RNA". It matches the Rfam family "Bacterial small subunit ribosomal RNA", at positions 120 to 354 of the family's 1533-position model. The record is from RNAcentral.